RNAcentral lists this transfer RNA (71 nucleotides) under Xiphophorus maculatus (southern platyfish). It matches the Rfam family "tRNA". Rfam says of the family: Transfer RNA (tRNA) molecules are approximately 80 nucleotides in length. Their secondary structure includes four short double-helical elements and three loops (D, anti-codon, and T loops). Lineage: Eukaryota; Metazoa; Chordata; Actinopteri; Cyprinodontiformes; Poeciliidae. The record is from Rfam by way of RNAcentral.
GUGUUGGUGGUAUAGUGGUUAGCAUAGCGCCUUCCAAGCAGUUGGCCUGGGUUUGAAUCCUGGCCAACACA